Chrysemys picta bellii (western painted turtle) is the source of this 2305-nucleotide long non-coding RNA. The record is from Ensembl. NCBI's taxonomy places the organism in Eukaryota, Metazoa, Chordata, Testudines, Emydidae.
AGCUCGGGAACAUGAUGGGACGGUUGAGGGAUCCACCGAUGAUCUGAGAUCCUAGCAUGAAACCGGGUCUGGGAUCUGGAGGAUUUGCUGCUCAUGUAACCGCCGGUUUUAUUGCCUGCGUUCCUCCUCCGCUUGCCUUAUCUCCAUCCCCGCCUCCCCCUCCUUGACUUCGCAGGAGAAGAGCUGGCGCAACAGUGUCAGGCAUAACUUGUCCCUGAACGAAUGUUUCAUCAAGGCCGGGCGAAGCGACAACGGCAAAGGGCACUUCUGGGCCAUCCACCCGGCCAACCUGGAGGACUUCUCCAAGGGCGACUACCACCGGCGCCGAGCCCGGAGGCGCAUCCGCAGGAUGGCGGUGAACCUGAGCUAUUACCACCCGUACGCCUUCUACGGCUUGAGCUGCUGCCCAGGACGUCACUGCCUCUGCUGCCCUCCUUACGCGCACCCUGCUGGCCCCGGCCCUUCUGCGCAGUGCCAGCCUGGAUUCCCCCUUCUCCCCCUCUACCCGCCCGCCUCCCAGCGCCACCCCUACCUUCCCGCCGGCGCCCACAAGGGCCUGCAGGAGAAGCAGUUCAACUGGCCUUGGCACAGACCCCAUUUCCAUCACCCCCUGCAGGCUCCUCCGCACCUGUAACCUGCACUUCUCCAGCCUCCAGGGAGCCUUGUGCCACCAGGGAUCGUCCCAGCAAGGAGAUCUCUGGGUUCUUUUCCUCCUCUGCUUUGGAGCAGGCCCUGAACAGCUCAGCGGGGUCUGCCUUUGGGUCCCUGGGCCCUGGCCAUCCUCCCCCUUUGAAGAGGGUGGAGGUAGGGAAGUGACCUGGGCCUCCUACGACUUCACCCCCGAGUAGCCCUGCUCCCUUGGACUCCCUACAGCGAGGCAGGGGGGAGCUGCAGUAGCAGUCUGUCAUCCUGGCCCUACCUGCCCAGCGUCUUUAGCGGUUGAAUGCUGACGGGCUGCCCUUCCUCACGGGCUGGAGCAUUUCCUCGAGGCUGCUCCUUUCUGUGUCUCUCCAUGGUUUUGAUUUCAAAAGACAAGAGGCCUCCACAAGAUUGAAAGGGCCCUACAACUCCAUAGCACCCCACUGCUGUUAAACCAGCCACUCGGAUAGGAACUCAGCCUGCCAGCCACCUCUCGGACAUCUGUCCACCUCUGUAUUGCUCCAUGCAAUCCUCUCCCACCCUCCCGUCCGCUAGGUCUUCUGCAACAUGCUCAGAAGCUCGGCAAAUUCUGGUCGAGGAGCACCUCCGCGUUGGCCACUCCUGCUGUUGGGGCCCAGGCCAGUGGUAAAGGGAAGCACAGAGCCUGGCUCAAGCCUGGCUCGGCUCAGUGGCUGAUGCUUCGGGGGUGACUGUAACGUGCUGUGCUGGUGGGAGGAGACUGGCUCCGGCUCCUCGCUGGGCUGGGCAUUAGUAUGAUAUGCAGUUGUCUGCAUCACGCACCACUCUUGUGGGCAGCCGCUGGAGAGAGGCCAAGGACUGAAUGGACUCCGUUCUCCUGCUGGGCUGGGGCCAGAUGCAGGGCAGUUAUGUACCAGGGAUUAGCACCAUGAUGUAACCUGCAUCCCUUGAGGGCGAUGCUCUGUCCCCCCUCUUCUCCCCCCUGCCCCCCUGGGACGUCUGGGUCACGGAUAGGUGUUGGUGACCCAUCUGCAGCCGGGGCGAGCGGACAUGGGGGUGUCAGCUCAGGCAGCAGAGGGGCCUCUGUGUAGAGCCGGAGGUCCCACGUUCAAGCCCUGUUGCUAAUGACCGUUCCUGGGCCGCUCCCUCAUGGUCACAAGCAAAACCAUUUUCCAGUUGGGCAACUGAUCCGCUCGAUGUUUCCUUGUAGACUAAGCUCCUGAGAACCAGGGUUAGCCUGGCCCACACUCCCCUAUUUAGGACCAGGAAGCUGGGGCAGAAUUUGCACCCCUGCCGCUGCAAACCCACUGUGGAGGUGGAGCCAAAAGGUGUUUAGACCCCUGCCUCGUUCUCUCUCUAAUCUACAGAAGUGUAUUUGUUCGAUUAAGGGAACAUGGGAAGGAAGUACAGCUACCCUUGAUGUGCAAAGAACUUCACCUAGGAAGGAAAAAUCCAGCCUGGGGCACAACUGGCUAGGUGGCCGUGCUGCUGAAAAGGUUCCAGCAGAUCACGAAUUGAAUGCGAGUCACCAAUGUGCGAACAGCUGCGAAAAAGGCCGCUCUCCUCCUGGAAUGGAUUAACGGGAGUGUCGUAGUGACAUGGGAGGUAAUUGUCCUGCUCUCCUCAGCAUGGGUUCUGGGUACCACCCUGUAAUAAAGAUGUGAACAAAGUAGAGAGAAGCUGGAGG